CCCUCAACAUAGAGAGAGUUGGACAAUGAUCAGCCAUGAUUUUGGAGAACUAUGACUGAGAAUGCUACCCAUCUUCUGACAGAGAAGUGAUGGACUCAGUGUGCAGAAUGAGCCACAUUUGGGGAUCUGGCCAACUUGAACAUUUAUUUUGUUCGAAUAUGCAUAUUUUGUUACAAAGAUUUUAUUUUUACUUUAUUUUCCAAUGGGGUGGGUAGAGAAGUAGGAGGGAAAAUAAAAAUAUCUGAUCAUAUUUUAAAGUAGAAAAGUUAAUUUCACAAACAAAUAAAAUUAGAGAGUUGGAUUCAAUUAUCUCUGAGCAUCCAUCCAACUCCUUCAAUCUAUGUUCCAAGAUUCUUUCCAAUUCAGACAAGUGGUGGUGUGUGGUCUAACUUUAUCUUCACGGCAACCCUGGAAUUUUAGUGCUAGUAGCAAACAAGGAACAUAGAACACUAGAGCUACGGAUGAGGCUUGGGCUAUGGGAUUUAAAACCUAGAUUAAUAAUAGCUACUUUUAUGUGGAGAAUUAACAUAUAUAUUAAAAAGUGCUUUGAAUAUUAUAUGUAUAAUUUCAUCUUAUCCAUAAAACCAAACCUAGAAUUAGUGCUAGAAAGAAUCAUAGAACAUAGAACGUUAGACUUUAAAGAAACCUGAGAAUAUAUAAUGCUAGACUAUGGAGAGUUAAAGGAAUUUUUGUAUUAUGAAGCAUUUUAAUUAGAAAUAGCCUUAGAUUAUGAUAAAUUAGACCAUGUAAAAGGAUCACAGAACAUAGCACGGUAGACUUUGGAGAAACCUUAGACUAUAUAAUGCUAGAUUAUGGAGAGUUGAAGGAACUUUUCCAUUGUGAAGCAUCAUAAUUAGAAAUGGCCUUAGACUAUGAUAAAUUAGACCGUGUAACCCACAAUGUCAGAAUUGGAGGCAAUCCAGAACAGACUAGAAAAGCCAAGAGAAAACUGGAAAGAGUUGAGAUGGCCCCGUUAUUGUUGUCCAUUGUAUGGAUAAGGAAGAGUGACUCAAUGCCCUCCAAAAUCUUCAGGCAAACACCGGAGGAUUAUUUGUUAGCUGCAUUAUGGAGAGAAUGCUCAUUAAGCUACAAAUUUCACUGGAUGGCCACUGAAGAUCCUUCAGACAAAUUCAAAAGGUUUCAAGAAAAUUUGGAUCACAGAAUUUAGAGUGGAAGAAAUCGAAGAUCAGAUAUAAAAAUAUCAAUAGAUAAUAUAAGGAAACUACACCAGGACUUAGUUGGGAUCCCACAGUAAACAGAAAAGACAUCAUUUGGACUCAGUUCCUGCCUGACUCGAUCCACUGAGCCUGCCUCGAAGAGAGAGAGGAAGGCAGCUUCUCAUGCUCCACCACCCAACCUUUCCUGGAUCUCUUUCAAGGGGAUUCCUGGUCUUACCCUGCCAUAUCAACCCAUCAACUGAACACAUCCAUUGUGUGUGAGGAAUGCUGAUGAGCAGUGCAAAGAAAAAGCAAAUCCAGGGGGACCAGAAUCAAACCCGCUGUCCCUGCACUCAAGGCAUUUAUGAUCUAACGAGGAGACAACUGUAAGGAUGCAGACUCUGUUGUGCCAGUUGUCGAAUGACAGACCUUCCAAGAGAAGACCGAGAUACCAGAGACAGAAAGAUCCACAUCAGGUUAGUUAUUAAUAGGUUUUAUUAGGGUUACUGAGGGAGCUCAUUCCCAAGAGGCCAGCACAAAAUGGCAGUAAGACAAAGUCCAGUGGAUCCUCACACUAACCCGGGCCGGGCGAGGUAUUAUAUACUAAGGGAACAAAGAAGGCAGAGAGCCCAAGAUGGCCCAAGGCCAUGUGCCAGUUCUCCCAUGGGAGAACUGGAGCUUCUUUUGCUCCUUUAUAUUGAAGGCAGUCGUGGGUCAGAUUCCCAGGCUCUGGCUCCCACCCUACAACAACAUAUACACAAGAUAUAAAUGGAAAGUCACCUGAAAGAAGGCAUUCUGAGGUAGGAAGACUGGGAAAGACUGGGAAGAUCUCCUGAAGAAAAAGGUGUUUGAGCUGAAUCUUGAAGGAAGCUUUCAGGGAGUCUAAGAAGAGGAGGGAAGAAGGCAGAGCAUUUCCAGCAUGGGGACUCAGUCAGUAGAAAGGGAUGGAGACCCUCUCUUAAAACCCCUGGUCAUGUCACUCCUUCUCGCUCUCUCUAGUUGGACAGACUUGACCUCAUCCUGGGUCAAAGGUGAGAUUUCAUGGUGCCAGGAGUCUCGGAGAACACGAGACAAGCAUCUUCUGGGUCCCCUGGGAGCCACGGGAAUCCUCCCAUAGUGCAUAUGUGCCCACUCAAAGGGUGGGGCUCUUUAAAAACAUUUCUUUCCCAAAGGAAAAAGAGGUACAAUUUAUGGUAAUUCCACAUAAUUCCAACCUCCAUAUAAUUUGAGAAUUUGAUCAAUAGCAUCCUAUGUUUAAAGACUCCUAGUGACAGGAAGGUCUACACCCCCUUUUGAGUCACAUUAGGAUGAGAUAUUUUAUCAAUUUUUUUUAAAUGGGUAUCCUAUUUGUAGGUAUUCCUUGAUCCAUUAGAUAAAUGCCCUAUCAAGCAAUGGGAAAAAAUAAUCUGGUAAAACCCACCAUUAUUGAAAAUAUAUGGGCUCUUUGCAAUUGUUAUAUCCUUUUCUGAAGGUUGAUCCUCUCAUUAAUGAUGUGUUCUAGAAUGUUCCCUGUACUCAAGAUCAAACCCAUUGACCUAUAACUUGCAGAGAGACAGAGAGAGAAAAAGAGAAAGAUAGGAGAGAAAGACAAAGAAAAAGAGAAAGAGAGAAAAGAGAGAGAGAGACAGAGAUAGGGAGACACAGAGAGAAAGAGAGAGAGACAGAGACAGAGAUUUGUUCUGCUCCUUUUUUGUUCUGCUCUUUGGGAUAUUUCCUGUCUAGUUAGAAACCAUUUGGCUGUCUACAAGAGUUAAACAUCUCUGUCCCUCCCUGGACCCUUUAACUGUGCUCAUAGCUUCUCUAAGUUCAGCAUCAGCAGCAUCUUCUUUCAGUAGGAGUAGUAGGCUCCCCAGUCUCAGUCCUGGCCCAUAUCCCCACCCAGGCUACUUCUCUUUUUGGCCCCAAUCUAAGGGUUCUCCCCAUCAAGAAAUAAACAAACAAAUGAAUACAUGAAAAUACAUAAAUAUUUUAAUUAUUAGCUACAUAGAUAUUUUAAAUAAAUAAGUAAGACCCUGGACCAAAGGAAUUGAGACACAAAUGGAAGAGGCUCCAUCCCAGGCACAAGUUUGCCUGUGAGGCCACCAGCAAUUGGGGAGCUGCAUCCCUCCCCUGCCUUACCCUCUGAGCAUUUCAGACAGCUGUCCUUGAAUUUUGAAGUCAGCAAACAGAGUCUGGCUGAGGAACAGGCAUUGCCCCUUUAUUAUAUCCAAGAAGUUCUGGUUCAUCAGCCAAUUGAAUGACUUUUUAUUGCCACAUUGUGAGCCCCUGAGUCAUUAUGGCCACCUGUCAGGAUAUCUACACAUACUUUAAAAUUGGAAGUGGAGGAAGUCCCCUCCAUCAAGCCUACUUCUAAGGACCCUCCCUAAAAAAAGCUUCCAUGUUAGAGGUGGGCAUGGGUUCAAGUGUAAGAGGGUGUACUACACUUGUUUUUUGUUAUCUUUUGUCUAUGAAUGGUACUGUCUUGGUGAUAUAUCUAUCAGUUCUUCCAGGACCAGAAGACAUAGUGCGUCUGGGCCAAAUGCCUUAAAUUCAUUAGGGAAACAGCUAGCAAGUUAGCUGUUCUCUUACUAUCCCCUUACUCAUCUUGGAUGUCACGUCUCCAUUACUCAUUUUUAUUCUGACAUAUUUGAUUCAGGAAUCAUUCUACUUGAUAGAGAAAACAAAAGUAAAAUUAAAAUUAAGCACAUCUACCUGAUCUCUAUUGUCCACUAUCUCAUCAUUUAUUGGUCCAAUCUCUUCUUUGAUCAUACUUUUCUCUCCAUAUUGCUAAAACACAUUUUUUUGUCUCGGGUUGUCUUAAGCUUUCCCAUCACUAAUACUAUUCUUACAAGAUGGUGCCACACUCAUAUUCAAUCCAUUUUACCCAUUUCAUUUUUCUAUACAUACUUUUAAAAAUGUAAAUUGGUACAUUCUUUGUGCAUCCCUAAGCGUAUCUUCAGAAAACUCCCAUUGUUCUUUCUCAUUGGAAUUUCUUCCCGCUUGUUCUUCAGAAUUUCAUUCCCACAAAGGCCAUCCCAAAUUCAUGUAAUCUAAUAUCCAUUGGAUCCUCACUGUGAAAAGUAAACUUUUUAAAGCUUUUCUUUAGUUGAGCCUCUCUUUCAUGGUUCCUAACAGCUGUCCUAAAUUGUCUCAUCUCUUACCAUGUGUGCUCCAACAUCCCUCCUUUUCAACAGUGGACAUCUCUUUAGCAGGACCAUUAGAUCACAGACUUAGAACCACAGGGGGCCUUAAAGACCACUGAGUCCAGCCCUUUUAUUUUGAAGCUGAGAUUCAGAAAAGUUACUUCACUACUAGCAAAUAUCUGAUGUGAGAUAUGCACCUAGAUCUUCCUGUCUCCAAAUCCAGGGCCCUAUUCAUUACACCAUCUAAGUGGCACUGGGAAGAAGGUGGCACAAUAGAUAGAGCACCAAAUCUGAACACUCUGAACACAAAACAGGAACACUCAUCUUCCUGAGUUCAAAUCUAGCCUUAGACACUUAGUAGCUGUGUAAUCCUGGGCAAAUCACUUAACCCUAUUUGCUUCCAUUUUUUAAUUUAUAAAAUGAUCUGGAGAAGGAAAUGGAAAACCACUCUAGUAUUUUUUGCCAAGAAAACCCCAAAUGAAGACAUGACUGAAAAAUGACUAGAUAAGAAUAAAUCAUGUCAUAUAUUUUUAUAAAAGUAGAGACUACCUGGCAUUAGGUCUCUCUUCUCCCCCAUUUGACAUUUCAGAACAUCUUGACAUCACUUUUUCUCCUCUUUACAAUAGGCUCUAAUGAAGAUGUGACCCUGCUCCUUGCAAAGACCAAACCCUCUACUCAUAGCUUUGAUAUCAUCCACUCCUAUCUUUUCCAGCAGAUUACUCACACAUUCAUCAUUGCCUCCCCCUUUAAUCUUCAAUAUCUUCCUGUUUAUUGACUAUUUCUCUGCUGCCUACACAAAUGCCCACCAAAAGAAAGGAAAGGAAAGGAAAGGAUAGAAUUAAGGGAUGAUUCCUACUUAAUAAGUCUGAAGGACAUGGAAGAUGGGAGUAUGUUUGAUUGUAAUAGAGAAGUUAGGAAGAGAGGGUUCUUCCUAUUUGUGUGACCUUGGACAAGUCACUUAACCCCAGUUGCCUAGCCCUUAUUGUUCUUCUGCCUUAUAACCAAUACUAAGACAAAAGAUAAGGGUUUUACUUUUUUAAAAGAGGAAAGGGCUAUAGAGAGAGUCAGUUCUGGAUGUGCUGAUUUAAGUUUAAGAUGUCUUUAUGGGGAAGGAGCCAAGAUGGUGGAGAAGGUAUACAGAUCCACAUGCUCUCUACCAAAUUACCCUUUUUAAAAUAUCAAAACAACUAUUACAUAAUGCCUCAAAAUGAAUUCUGGAGUGGCAGAACCCACAAAAGGAGAGGGUGAAACAAUUUUCAGACCAACAUAACUUAUAAGAUCAACAGGAGUCUACAGCACCGGGAUAGAAGUAGAGUCCAGAACAUCAUGCUAAGGUAGGCUGCACACAUAGGCUAUGGGGGCAGUUGAAUCAGCAGCUACAGCUUCCAGAACUCUCAGCCACAGACAGUAAAGGACAAAGACAGAUAGUAGGAAAAUAUCAAGAAGAGGUUGCGCAUUGAGUUUACAAGGUCUAUGGGAUCUCCAGUUUAAGCACAGAUCAACAGUUCUGAAGACCGUAUAAAGAGGUAGAAGGAUGAGGACUGAGGAAAGGGCAUUCCAUUUGGCAAUUAAGAACUCUUAGUAACUUUGGAGAGAGCAGUUUGGGUUAAGGAUGACGUCAGAAGACAACUGCAAAGAGUUUAGAGAAGAGUGAGAAGAAAGGAAGUGUAGGCAUCUAUUAGAGAUGACCUUCUCUAGGAGUUUAACAACAAAAAGAGAGAGAUAGGAGAAAAAUAGCUGGCAUAGAAGGGUCAAGAAAAGAAGCUUUUUAUAGCAUGAAGGAGACAGGAAAAAAGGAAAGCAAAUAAGCAUUUAUAGAGUGCCUACUAAGUGUCACAUGUUGUGCUAAGCACUUUAUACAAAUUUCUCACUGGAUCCUCACAACGUCACUGGGAGGGAGAUGCUUUUAUUAACCCCAUUUUACAGUUAAGGAAACUGAGAUACAGAUUAAAUAACUUUCCCAGUGUUACACAGAUCAUUAAUCCCUAGAAAAAAGGUACUAGACAUCCAUUUUAAGAAGUCUUUGAAAAUUCACCAUUAUGUCUUAGAUACACAGCCUGGAAAGACAGCAGACCUCUCUCUGCUUGUUAGGAUGUUCAAAUCUAGCUGCCUCAGUAUCCUCAAAAAGAGAGAAACUUGCCACUCCUACUCUUUUCCUUUUCCUCUGAACUUGUCAGCUUCCAUAGCUCUCCUCUGUCAUUCUGUGUAGAGGACUCAUGCAGCUGCUUCCUCCUCUGAGUAUCUAGCCCCUUCCUCUUCAGGAAGAGCUGCAAAUCUGUUUUUUAGCUCCCAGUAUAUUAUUGUAAUUUUCUUUCCCUUCUCCCUCAGUGUGACAUUCUUCCUCCAGUUUCCUGACAAAAGGUCAAGUAAAUCCUCAGCCGCUUUGGAUCCUUUUAUUUAUUCUUGGAAGUUUGUUACCAAUUUGUCUUCUUUUGUUUCUAUUUUGUUGUUAUUGUUGGAAGUGGGGUGAUGGUUGGAAGCACAAUGCUUUUGAUAUUGUCCUUGUGGUUCGUCCUCCAUUUUCAAAGAGGACCAAUGGCAUCACAAGGUUGAUGUAUUGACUUGCUCAUGAAUUGGAUUUCAAUGAAGCAGAGAUAUACAAAGUCAUCAGGCUCACUGACCACCAGAAGAGUAAAGGGAUGUUCCUGGUGUCCCUUCCUUUCCCCUCUCCAAAUAAGGGAAAACAGCCUGCACUCAUUGCAGACCGUAUUCAUUUGAUUGUGGCAGACAUAAACAUCUUGCACUGGAAUAAUUUCAAACUUUGUCUGGCUACCAUUUUGCUUGAUGUUCCCAAUUUUAUGGGUUUUUUUUUAACUAUUUCAAUAAGACCUUUAAAAACUCUUAUCAGCUCAUCUUUAGAUCCUAGAUGUCAUCUAGUCCAAUCCCUUCAGUCUAAAGAUGAGAAAACGGAAGAUUAUAUAGUCAGGGAAAGUGAUUUACUAACUGGGAUUUAGUAAUGUAGAUGAGCUACUCAUUAGCAAGGACUUUUUCUCCUAUGCAAAGAUACCAAAACCAGAUUUCAUAAAAAGAUAUUUAACUGGAAAACCAAGAGAGAUUCUGGAAAACAAAAUGUGACAACACAUAAGACAUCAAAUGUUAGAAGCUAGAAGGAACCAGAAAGGACUUUAAAAAUAUUCAACAUAGAAGGUUCCAUCUUGGAAAAGGAGAAGGAAACAUAUUAAAUUAUAAAAGGUUAGAAGUGAAAUGAAAUUUCAAGAUUUUUCAAUCUAGCCUUAUUUUUCAGAGGAAGACAUUAAGGUUCAGAGAAAGAAAAUAUCUUCCUAAUUCAAUUUAAUAAAACUGAGGCUCAGGGAAGGUUUUUUUCCCCCUAUAGCCUACAAGGAAUGAGGAUCAGGCAGUCAGAAUCAUGAUCUUAUCCCAAUUUCCCAGACCAUUCCCCCAUCCCAGAUCGAAACUGCUCUCAUUUGUUUGAGAAAAAUAUGUUUUAAUUGCUUUACUGACCCCACUGAUUUAAGUUCAGAGGAUCAGAAGUUAAGUGUAUGUUUAGAUUGGCCUUGCCCAUCAAACUGGAAUUAUUUUUAUCUAAUAUAGAUUUUUAUAAAAACUGAGAAAACUUCUAUGAACUGAUGCAGAGUGAAAUGAGCAGAACCAGGAGAACAUUGUACACAGUAACUGAAACAUUGUGAGAUAAUCAAAUAUAAUCAACUUUGAUACUAAAAGCAAUGCAAUGAUCCAGGACAAUCCUGAGAGACUUAUGAGAAACAAUGUUAUCAACAUCUAGAGAAAGAACUGUGGGAUUAGAGCCACAGAAGAAAAACAUGAUUAAUUACUUGUUUAUAUGGGUAUAGAACUUGGGGUUGUUUUUUGUUUGUUUGUUUAAAAGAUUACUCUGUUACAAAAAUGAAUAAUAUGGAAAUAGGAUUUGAGUGAUAAUACAUAUUACUAUAUAUAUUACUGGGAUACAUAUAACCCAGUGGAAUUGCUUGUCAGUUCUGGGAAGUGAAGGGAAGAGGGGAAGGAAACAACAUGAAUUAUGUAAUCUUGGAAAAAUACUUAAAAAUAAAUAAUUUUUUAAAAAUCACUGCUUGUUAUUCUUAGGAAAGCAGUCUUAGGAGAUGGUAGUGUUUGCUGAAUAUCAGUACCUCCACUACAAAUAGCAAAUCAUUUCUUUUCAAAGAUCAUUGAGAUGUGUCCAUGAUGGCUACCUUUCCAUACUUAAAAUGGUUUUAAACUUUGGCCAUUCAUGUCUGAAUAGUUUGAAGCUGACGGCCUUGUUGGUCAUUUAUAUUGGCAUUUAUUGUCCUAUUUACUUACAGGAAUUCUUCUUGUGGGACUCUUGAGAUUCUAUUGUUUGAUUUUGUUUCAUUGUUGGUUUUCUGAAAGAUGAGUUGUGUGUUGUGCCAUUACAAAAUGACAAUUUGGCUAUUGGCCACUGUUGGGUGGGAACUAGAUGGUUCCCAGGAUAAAGUGCUGGGCCAGCAGUCAGGGAGACCUGAGUUCAAAUCUGGUCUCAGACACUCAGUAACUGUGUGACCCUGGACAAGUCACUUAACCUCUAUUUGCCUUAAUUGAUUGAAAAAAGUAGAUGACAAACUACUCCAGUAUCUUUGCCAAGAAAACUCCAAAUGGAGUCAGGAAAAGGUGAAUACAACUGAAUAAUCACAACUGCAGAAUAAGUGACAGUAAGGUAACCUAUAACAUAACCCCCUGCCCUGAACAUCUUUAUCACCACGCAGGGAUUUCCAAUAAGUGUGUAGAAUGAAUCACUUUUCUUUCCAAUAAAAACUGAAAAUUAAUCGGGAUCAAGAAAGGUCCUUUUAGUCCUUUAAAUUCCAUGUUUUCACAUUCCAUGUCCAUAGGGUGCUCUCUAUCUUCUCCAUUCUAUGUUCUAACAUUCUAUAGACUAUAUUCUAGUAUCUUAUGAUCUAAGAUCUAGUUCAGUUUUCAUAUUCUUUGUUCUAGGGUCCUUUCCAGUGUAUCUACCUUUUACCAAUUUAUUUUCUACUAUUCUAUACACUAUAUUCCAAAAUCUUAUGUUCUAAGGACUAUUUUAGCUCUCAUAGUCUAGGUUUUAUAUUCUGAUAUUCUAUGUUCAUUUCAACUAAUAUUGAAUGGCCUCCAUGUAAUGGAUGGGGACCUGGGCUCAGGGAGAAUAGAUGAGUUACUCAAGAUUAUGGAGCCAGUCAGCAGCUAUGACUAGAUUAAAACUAGGUCUCUCAUGGAUUUUUUCAAUUCUCUUUCCAUAAGACCACCUAGAAGAUUGAACAGAGCAUGACUUCACCUCUCUAUAGAAUGGCUCUGGAAAUGGGGUUUUGGAGAUCCUAAAGGGCCCCCACUGGAAACUGGUAGAAGAGGAUGCCAUCAGUUCAUGUAAUCCAGGGAAUAAAUGCCCUCAUAGGCUGAUUGUUCUUUCCUUCCUCUCACAGGAUGGUUUGAACCCCAAAGAAAAGGGGCCCAUUUUUCUUCCUUUCUAACAAUAGCUUUAUACCUGUCUUUCCCCUCAGUCUCCAGGGUAGCAGAAAAACAAUCCCUGCCAGGAAUGAAGGAAGGAAAGAGGAAAGGAGAAAAAAAUGGAAAACAAAGGAGAUGACUGAUGGGGUUUAUGAAAGAACUUGGGACCAGAGGGACCAGGCAACCCCAUGCUAAGGGAAGCUGAGUUUGAAACUCUCAACCUGAUACUGAAAUUAAUUCAAGCCCUGAGAUAGGAUAGAAAGUGAUCAUGACUCCUUGUAGAAUCAAAAAAUUUAGCUAUAGGUCAUCUAGAUUUACCCUCACCCUUCCUUUUUAUAGAUAAGGAAACUGAGACCCAAAGAUUUUAAGAGGCUUCUUCUCAAGUCAUAUAGGUCUUUAAAAAAAAAAAAAACGCUUACCUUCUGUCUUAGAAUCAAUACUGUGUUUUUGGUUCCAAGGCAGAAAAACAGUAAAAGUCUAGGCGAUGGAGGUUAAGUGACUUGUCCGGAGUCACACAGCUAGGAAGCAUCUGAGGUUAAACUUGAACCCAGGACCUCCUUUUUCUAGGCCUGGCUCUCAAUCCAAUAAGCUACCUAGCUACCCUCCAAUAGACCUUAACACUGGACUUGAACCUUCCCUAACCUUCCAGCGCUAAGCCCUGUGUCCUUUGAUGGUGAACAGUUUACAAAUGAGAGGAUAAACCUUUCUCAAAUGUAAAUCUGGGAAAAGGCAUUUUUCUAGAAUUUGGGGACGUUUCAGAGCAGUUUUUCUCCAACUUUUGAUUGGGCCCAGUCUAUUUUGGUCAGUCAGAAAAUGAAAAGCCAGACCCAGCUCUGUUUUUCUUAACAUCUUUGUUAUUUAGCAACUUGUUUCUGUUCAGUUCCCAUUUAAGGGAGCAUUGACUGUGCCAGAGGGGGAUUUGUGGCUUUGUUAUUUAAAUAGUCCUGAAAUUCAGGGAAAAGUCAGCCAAGGGCCUGAGCUUGGGUAAGAAGUCCCUUCCCCAUUAUGGGCCUCAGUUUCUUUAUCUCUAAAAAUAAUGGGGUUAGAUUGGGUGAACUCUAAGCUCCCUUCCAACUUGAAAAUGCUAUGGCUCUGUGACUGACUCUCUUUGAGGCAGAUGUGGUCCUAUUCCUUGCCAAGAUCAUCCCCUCCCUCUAAUCCUCCUCAUUUUUGCCAGGAGUUCAUCCUGUCCAUCCUCAUCCUUCCCCCUCCUAAUUUUCACCAUCUCUGUCCUAGCGUUCCUUCCUCCUUACCCAAAGAUGUGCCCCAUCCUUUAAAAACCAUCAAUUUCACUUGAUGCUCCCAUCCCCUCCACGCAGCUGUUGUUCUUUUCUCUCACCUGUUCACUGUGAAGUUGGAGUCUUCCCCUAACAAACUUGUGCUAAACCCUUUUCUUAGUUCUCCUCCUCUUCUUUGCCAACUUUCUGUAUCUUGAAUACUAUUGAUGCUCAAUGCUAUCUUCUCUCCAAGGGUUCUGAACAGAGCUUUCUCCUGGUUUUUCCCUGCCUUUGCUGGAUCAUCCUCACUAUGCUACAACCCAGCUUCUGUCCUGGGGGCUCUUCUCUUUUCCUGUGCAAGCUUGUCUUCCUGAUCUCAGCUUCCCUUAGAUGGAAUCAUUUUCUCCAAGUUUCCUCCCAACUCCCCAUUAUAGAGCCUUCAUUUCUCUAUUAAGCUCACAUCUGGCAUGAGGAGUUUCCUGCUAAAUAUGUAGAUAUCCCAUAGGCUCAAAUCCAAUCAAAACAAGAGAGAUCUUUCCUCCUGAAGCCCCCUUUCCUACUCAUUCCCCUUCUUUUUUUUAGAUCAUCAUCAUCAUCCUUCUGUGCACCCACGUUCUCAAAAUCAGAAUCAUCUAAUUCAUCUUUCCCUCACUUCCCCAAUUUCUUUCUUCUGAUACUUCUACCUUUGCAACAUAGUUCCCCCUCUCAGGAAGUCAUGGCAAGUAUUAAGCAUUUAGUAUUUGUCAAACAUUCAGGAUACAAAGAAAAAUGAACAGUCCCUGCCUUCAAGGAGCUCACAAUCCCAUAGCCAGAACCCUAGAUCAACCUCUCAUCACUUCUUGCCUAAAAGAUUGUGAUAGCCUCUUAAAUUAGUCUCUACUUCUGCUCUGCCCUCUCUCUAGUAUAUCAUCCCUGAAGGUGCCAGCUAUUGAUUGUUCUAGAGUACAGACCUGGCCAUAUGAUUGCCUUGCCCAAAAAGCAGCCUAUCCCCCAUUGGCUGUGGAGAAUAUAAACUAAAACCUUCAGCAUCUAGUUUCUGCCUAGCCUUUGGGAGCUAGGAGUCCUGGACCUGGAGUCAGGAUGUCCCGAGUUCAAAUCUAGACUCAGAUACUUAUAAGCUGUGUGUGACCCUGGGCAAGGCACUUAUCUACCGCAGCUUCAUCUUUGUGGGGGGAGGAUAAUGACAGCACCUACCUUCCCAGGUGGUUGUGAGGAACAAAUAAGUUUAACAUAAGCAAAAGGUUUUGCAAACCUUAGAGCACUCUGAAAAUGCUAGCAGUAGUAGUAGUAGUAGUAGUAGUAGUAGUAGUAGUAGUAGUAGUAGUAGUAGUAGUAGUAGUAAUAGUAGUGGUAGUAGUAGUGGUAGUAGUAGUAGUGGUAGUAGAGAAGGUGGUGGUGGUGCUAGUAGUAGUAUUAAUAGUGACAGUGCUGGUUGUGGUAGUAGUAGUGGUGGCGGUACUGGUGGUAGUGGUGGUUGUAGUAGUAGUAGUAGUAAUAGUAGUAAAAAAGGUGGUGGUGGUGCUAGUAGUAGUAGUAAUAGUGAUGGUGGUGGUUGUGGUAGUAGUGGUGGUAGUGGUGGUAGUAGUGGUGGUGGUAGUGGUAUUGGUAGUAGUAGUAGCAGUAGCAGCAGCAACAGCAGCAACAGUAGUAGUGAAGGUGGUGGUGGUGGUAGUAGUAGUAGUAGUAGUAGUGGUGGUGGUAGUAGUAGUAGUAGUAGUAGUGAAGGUGGUGGUGGUGGUAGUAGUAGUAGUAGUAGUAGUAGUAGUAGUAGUAGUAGUAGUAGUAAGUAUUCUUUCACCACUGACAUUCUUCAUUAUAGUUAACAUUGCAACUCUGUGAUUUCACUCUCCUUUAACUCCAUAAAGUAACUUUGUAUUUGUUUACCCACAUACAUGAUAAACACUUUCCCCUUCAGUAAAAUAAAAGCCACUUGAAGAAAAGGACUUUUUUUUAUUUUUUUAUUUUUUAUUCCUAGGAUCUAGAAUAUGGUCCAGUGAAAAAACUGGAGGCAGAGGACCUGAAUGCAAAUCCAAGGCUGCCACCUAAUAUCUAUGUAAUAUUACACAAGUCCUUUCUCCUCUCUUUUCAAUGAAGUGAUUGGACUUGAAUUUGGCUUCCAAAGUGGUGAGGUGGCAAAGUGGAUAAUUGGCUGAGCCUCAAGUCAAAAAGUCCUGAGUUCAAAUUUGACCUCAGACACUUACUAGCUAUGUGAUCUUAGGUAAAUCACCUAAUCUCUGUGUGCCUCAGUUUUAACUAUAAAAUGGUGGUACUAUUCAUAUGUAUCUCCCAGGGUCAUUGUGAAGAGUAAAAAGAGUUACUCUUUGCCAAGUGACUGACACUGUGAGCCAAGAGUUACUCUUUGCCAAGUGACACAGUGAAACAUAAAUGUUUCUCUCCUUUCUUUCCAUCCCCUGAAGUCCCUACCAGUUGUAGAUUGGGAUGUUAUGGUACCAUCAGCUAACCUCUCUGGACCUCAGUUUCCUCAUCUGUAAAACAAGGCAGUGGUACCAGCUGACCUUAGAAUUCCCCCUUCCUGACAUUAGAGCAUUGAUCCUAGACUGGUAUUUUUGGAACCUGUUUCCUCCUCUGUAAAAUGAUGGCCUCUGAGAUUUCUUUAAAAUAAUUGUUCAUUUUCUAUCAGCAAUUCUUCUUGGUUUCAAUUCUGUGGAACAUCAUGCCUUCCCCCAGCAUAAAAUGGCCACCCAAAGCCCCACCACCAUGCAUGGUGACUCAGUGCCUUCCUGACUCUCUCACUCUGCUCUCUCCUCUGACUGGAGGGAUGGAAGGUAUAGCCAUCACCUUCUUCCAAGUCCUCUUUAUACCUCGAAGGCUCAGAACUUUCUAAGUAGCUCAUCUUUUUCCAACCGCUUGAUUUUACUUCAUGGAGCAUCCUGCCCCUGUGCUGAGUUGUCCUUGAUCUCCAACCUCCUUCCACCUCUUCUUGUGUUGUCUUCUCCAUUAAAUGGAAAGCUCCUUGAGGGCAGGGACUUUCUUCUUAUUAUUUGUGCCUUGCCUGGCACAUCUUAGACACAUAAUAAAUAUUUACUCAAUUCAAUUUCAUCCUUACGUCUCUGAUGCUCUGAUUAGUAAAAGGUUGUGUGUUGAUGAAAUUGAACUGACAAAGGUAGAGAUAUGGUGAUGGUGAGACAGAAGGCAAUGACAACUCCAAGUAUAUCCUUAAGAAGAAUCUGAAACAAGGGAAUACCUUUGUUGUGGAAAAAGAGAAGACUGUAAAAAUCUCAAUAUUUGUUUUCAUCUACAUCUUCAAAGAAAAAUGGGCUAUUCACUUCCCUUCCUCCAAAGCUCCAACAAGCUCUGCUCCAGACUAAUGUACAAUAAAUAACUGUUGAAGCUAUUCAAAUGGACAGCAUUUCAACUCCCCUCACCCCACAGUGUGAUAAAGCCUCCCUUCCCCUGGCCCUUGGCUGAAAUAUAAGCUAAUCAUCAGGGUAUGCCAGAGAAGGAUUUUUGGCAAUGAGAGUUUGAAAGAAAAAAAAUAAUUGAAAAUGCUGAGACAGCACUGUAGUUAGACAAUUAAAUUUGGAAAGCCAAGACAGUUCCUGUAAGUCCCCUGCUCCAAGAACAAAAGGUUUUGUUGAAAGUAUUCCUGUGGAUAUUAAUACGGACACUUUAAUGAGCCUUGCGGCAAGCAAAAGUCCUCAUAGGCAGUAAUUACACCAAUGUUCCAUCAGUAGAACCCAGGCAGGAAGCCCAGACCAAAAAUAAUUGUCAUUCACUUGCUAGUCACCCCAGGUCAUAUCAGGCAACCCACACUGGAUGGUUGAUUUGCCAAUGUUCAGUGGCACCUUAAGAGUGAGAGGGGGUUAGGUCAUUCUGGGAAUCCAAUCAAUGAGCAUUUCCCACAGGAAAAGGCCUCUCCAGUGUUGGGAAUGGGAGAAGGCUUCAAUGGAAUCACCAUUACAAAUGACUUACACUCUCCACUUAUUUCUCUAAGGUUGUCUGGAUGUAGGUUGGUGUUUGCCAUUUCUUUGAACUUUGAUCUUCAGAAGGGGCAAUUCUCUUAGAAAAGUCUUGGUCAGGAAAUGGUGGGUAUCUCUCUCUACCAGUUCUGUCUGAUUCAGAACUGGAAAGAAAGAAAGAGAAAGAGAAAAAAGAAAUUAAAAAAACCAGAGGUGUGUGUGUGUGUGUGUGUGUGUGUGUGUGUGCGCGCGCGCACGUAAGAGAGAGAGAGAGAGAGGAGAGAAAAGAAAGAAAAGAAAGAAAGAAAGAAAGAAAGAAAGAAAGAAAGAAAGAAAGGAAGGAAGGAAGGAAGGAAGGAAGGAAGGAAGGAAGGAAGGAAGGAAGGA
Long non-coding RNA from Monodelphis domestica (gray short-tailed opossum), 15215 nucleotides. RefSeq lists it as uncharacterized. NCBI's taxonomy places the organism in Eukaryota, Metazoa, Chordata, Mammalia, Didelphimorphia, Didelphidae. The record is from RefSeq and is a predicted model, not a curated record.